This 210-nucleotide ribosomal RNA is filed under the name Carebara sp. KW14.01. Its description in RNAcentral is "partial large subunit ribosomal RNA". Lineage: Eukaryota; Metazoa; Arthropoda; Insecta; Hymenoptera; Formicidae. The record is from RNAcentral.
GAAUUUAAUAUAAAAUAAUUUUAGUUAAUUAGAUUAGGGAGAUAUUAUUUUAUUUUUAGUUGGGAUAAUUAUUAAAUUUAAAGAAUUUUAAUUAAAGAAAAUAUAAAUUAGUGAAUUAAAAUGAAUGGUGGAUAGAUUUAAGUAGAAUAAAUUACCUUAGGGAUAACAGCGUUAUAUUUUUAGUGAGGCCUUAUCUAUAAAAAUGUUUGC